Molecule: ribosomal RNA, 356 nt
Filed under: uncultured soil bacterium
Lineage: Bacteria
Description: bacterial SSU rRNA
Rfam family: Bacterial small subunit ribosomal RNA
Source: RNAcentral
AGAUUGAACGCUGGCGGCAUGCCUUACACAUGCAAGUCGAACGGUAGAGUAGCAAUACUUGAGAGUGGCGAACGGGUGAGUAAUAUAUCGGAACGUGCCCAGUCGUGGGGGAUAACGUAGAGAAAUUUACGCUAAUACCGCAUACGAUCUAAGGAUGAAAGCGGGGGACCGUAAGGCCUCGCGCGAUUGGAGCGGCUGAUAUCAGAUUAGGUUGUUGGUGAGGUAAAAGCUCACCAAGCCGACGAUCUGUAGCUGGUUUGAGAGAACGACCAGCCACACUGGGACUGAGACACGGCCCAGACUCCUACGGGAGCAGCAGUGGGAAUUUGGACAAUGGGCGAAAAGCCUGAUCCAGC